AUCCACCUCGGCUCCUGGUUGCAGCAACUGCUGUGGCAGUAUGUGGAGCGAGCACCUCUGGCUCCCAACUUCUCCUGACUGAGCUGGCCACUCGCUUCCUUCUCCUCUGUGCCUCAGGCGCUUGCUGAGACUUCUCUGUUGGACUCUAGUGCUCUCUCCUGGAUGUUCUAUUCGAGGUGUGCUUAUCUCUUCAUAAUUUUGGGUCUUCUUUCUGGAGAGGCUCUGCCGCACUAAGCUCUCUACAUGGCCGAGGCACCAGACCAGAAUGCGCCCUUUCGACAGGCAGAGAGAGCCAAAGGGGAAAAGAGCUGAGUCAAGGCUGCCAAGUUCCUGCUUCCAGCCCUACCAGCCGGUCACUCGCGCCUUGCAAUGAGGAAACCAGGAGUCCUAUCUAGAGCCUUUCCAUAGUUGUGGGAAAGAAGAUGGGUAAAGUUAUUGUUAAUCUACAGAGGAAGGAAUGAUGCCAAGUUUUUCAAGGCUUCCAGAGUCACAGGAGGAGUCACUUGGUAAAUCCAGGAGCAGAAACCAGGUUAAGUGACUAGCCUAAGGUAAGAGCCAGAUUUGGAGCUUGGAAUCUGAUAGCCCUUAGGGUGCUUUAUUCCCUGAGCCAAUCCACACUUCUACCUCAGUAAAGGAAUCAACUGAGGGCUCAGCUUUUCCUCUGCAAGAAACCUGCUCUCUGGGACAUUUUCCUUCUGACAGACCACUCUGCUGCAGGUCUGCUGGAGUUUGCUGGAGGUCCACUCCAGGCCCCUGUUGCCUGGGUAUCUCCAGUAGAGGCUACAGAACAGUAAAGAUUGCUGCCUGUUCCUUCCUCUGGAAGCUUUGUCCCAGAGGGGCACCCGCCAGAUGCCAGCUGGAGCUCUCCUGUAUGAAGUGUCUGUCCACCCCGGCUGGGAGGUGUCUCUCAGUCAGGAGACAUGGGGGUCAGGGACCCAUUUGAGGAGGCAGUCUGACCCUUAGCAGAGCUUGAACGCUGUGCUGGAAGAUCCACUGCUUUCUUCAGAGCCAUCAGAGAUGCCCUGCCCAGAGAGGAGAAAUCUGGAGACGCAGUCUGGCUGCAGUGGCUUUGCGGAGCUGCGGUGGGCGUCUCCAAGUUCGAACUUGCUGGCAGCUUUGUUUACACCGUGAGGGUAAAACCGCCUACUCACACCUCAGUAAUGGCAGAUGCCCCUCCCCUCACCAAGCUCGAGUGUCCCAGGUCAACUUCAGACUGCUGUGCUGGCACUGAGAAUUUCAAGCCAGUGGAUGUUAGCUUGCUGGACUCUGUGGGGGUGGGAUCGGCUGAGCAAGACAACUUGGCUCCCUGGCUUCAGCCCUCUUUCCAGGGGAGUGAACAGUUCUGUCUCACUGGCGUUCCAGGAGCUGCUGGGGUAUGGAAAAAAAAAAAAAAAAAAAAAAAAAAACUCCUGCAGCCAGCUCAGUGUCUGCCUAAAUGGCUGCCCGGUUUUGUGCUUGAAACCUAGGUCCCUUGUGGUGUAGGCACUGGAGGGAAUCUCCUGGUCUGCGGGUUGGAAAGACUAUGGAAAAGCAUAGUAUCUGGGUCAAAGUGCACCCUUCCUCAUGGCACAGUCCCUCUGGGCUUCCCUUGGCUAGGGGAGGGAGUUCCCCGACCCCGUGCGCUUCCUGGGUGAGGCGACGCCCCACCCUGCUUUGGCUCGCCCUCCGUGGGCUGCACCCACUGUCUCACCAGUCCCAAUGAGAUUAACUGGGUACCUCAGUUGGAAAUGCAGAAAUCACUUACCUUUUGCAUUAAUCUCCCUGGGAGCUGUAGACUGGAGCUGCUCCUAUUCGGCCAUUUUGCCUGCAAUCCAGGAUUUAUAUUUUUAGAGAGUCAGUCCAUGAUAGAUUACCUUGUAGUUUUGUGGAGAGGAUGUUAUCAUCGUUCCUGAUUUAGGGGAAAAUGCUAAGAAAAUAAGUGAUUUUCAAAACCUUGCCAUGAUUCCAUCAGUAAUGGAGUUUGCACUGGUACUGGGAACCUCCAGGUAUUGACUUGAGACCACAUGCUUAUAUGGUGUCAGUUCUCUUCAACGGAAGUGUUUUUAAGCUUUCCAAAAUUUCCAUAAAAACAAAAAUGGAUGGUAGUCUUUUUUCUUUUUGAAGAAAAUUUUAGCUAUCUUUACAUAAUAGCUGCUUAAGAACUGAAAAAUAAAGCAAGGUUAAAAUCUGAAGCAAGAGUACUUGUCUCAGGUUCUGUUAUAUAAAUUAAGUGAAAAAAAAAAUAGCCAUGGUAGGUGGUACACACCUACAUAGAAGGCUGAGGCAGGAGGAUUACUUGAGCCUAGGGGUCUGAAGCCAGCUGGGGCAAUAUAGCAAGAGUCCAUCUCUAAAAACAAUAACAAACUUUAAAAAUUUUGAAAAGAAUAAAAUAAGCAUAAAUGGGGAGAAAUUAAUUAAAAGGAGACACUAAAAAAUAUGUCACUGCUCCCACAUCUUCUCUGCACUCCCCCAAGGUACAAUAUUUUUUACCUCUUCUCACCUUUAUUUCCUAUGGAAUCCAGCCUUAACAAUGGAAAUUGGAAAAAGCAACUAGACACCAUGGAGGAAAAAAAAAGAACAAAGAAAUACAUUAAGGAACUAAAGAAAGGAAGGAGAGAGGGAGGGAGGAAGAAAGGAAGGGAGGAAAAAAGAAAAAUAUAAAAGAAAAUCUGAAUGUAGAAUAUAAGUGGACUAACUUCCAGAGGUCAGGACCACAUGGGCUGAAAACAUGUUUAGAACCCGAUUUUACAGGAAUUCUGCACGUAUCUAGAAGGGCUUUUGCCAGAAAACCGUUAAGCUUAACUAACAUUCUAUUGUGAAUGUUUUGUGAUAUAAGGUCAUUUUAGUCCUAUAUUCAAGGUCAAGAAAUGUUUCUUUUUAAAAUAGAACGGCACGAAUCCUCCUUUGUCAAGCUCAUUAACAGAAAAUGAUAUCUUUAUACUUUGUCAGUGGAUUUCCAAUCAAUUAUCAUCUAAUGCAAAAAUAAUCCCAGGAGUGUUCGCUUCCUGGAUGUUCUGACUAAUUUAAACUAUGGUUAAUUGAAGACUGAAAUAUUCGGGAAACUAUGACAGGAACAAUUUGCUACGGACAGUUUCCACCUGUACUCUCAAGACUUAGAAGCCAUAUGGAUAGAAUGAAAUAGGAUCCCAUCAUUCUCGGCCCAUCUCGCCCAUCUCAAGUCAUUUUUGCCCUCUCCCCACGUGCAGUCAGAAGACUGGAAGUGGAGGUGUGAGCAGUAGAUAGAGCAGUUUAUAAGACAAUGUUAAGACCAUGAUGAAAAGACAUUAGAGGAAGCAGGAAAAAAGAAUAUGCGACACUUAGAACAGGAAUUGGUGGUGUCUUGGAAUAUCUGCUUCAGGACGAUAAUGAAACUAAUGAUUUAGGGCAGUAGAAGAAGCCGUGGGAGGAACUUUCACAUUUGGCGAGCAGGAGAAUACAGUCAAAUUUGGAAAGGACAGACAUAGUUGCAUAUUUCCAUUGGCAUUCUCUCCUCUUCAUUUCUGUCCAAGAAUGCUGUCAGCAGAAUCCCACCAUAGUCUCUGCAGGUGCAACUCCAUGCAGCACCAGGUAUCUCUGUUCUCUUUGUUUUAUGAUCAGGGAGAAAGGAUGAGAACUCACCAGAGAGCGUAUAUUAUUACAACAGAUUUUAAUAUCAGUUUAUUUCAGUUCUGCAAAUGCCUUCUUCUUAAAUAUUCUACUCUUCCACUCUCCCUCACCCAUAACUCCUUAAGGUCCCACUCUCACAAACUUUUCAUAUAGAACUAUAGUUGAAUUUACAAAUGUGGUGGCAGAAAGGGGCUUGACCAAUAGAUUUAGGGCAUCCAUCAUCUGCAAGACUAGUACCUAGCAUAUUAGGAGGUGCUCAAAAAACAUUUGUUGAAUGAAUAAACCUUACGUGUAAGAUACAUGAAAAUUGCCCCAGAGGAGCCAGACAUUGAACUUCUGGGUUUUGGUAGCUAAUGUUAUUCUGAAGCUCAUGUUUCAAAUAGGGACUUGCAGCCUCCAUUUUUUUUGGUGGGGGGACAGGAUUUCAUUAAGUCGCCCAGGCUGGAGUGCAGUGGCACAAUCACACCUCACUGCAGCCUCAGCCUCCCAGGGCUCAACUGAUUCUCCAACCUCAGCCUCCUGAGUAGCUGGACUAUAGGCACACUGCCACCACACCUAGCUAAUUUUUGUAUAUUUUGUAGAGACAGCGUUUUGCUGUGUUACACAGGCUGGUCUCCAACUCCUGGGCUCAAGCUAUUCACCCACCUCAGCUUCCCAAAGUGCUAGGAUUACAGGCCAAAUUUCUUAGAGUAGCUUUGUGGGCAGCGCACAACUUAUUAGAGUAGGAACAUCAUUUUUGGUAGUAAAUACCAGCUAUUAGUAUAGCCUAACGCAAAGCUUCUCAGAAACCUAAGGAACAGACGUAACUGAUGUUCUUUUAAUCAGUCUACCAUCUAAGUGUUUGCCAGCUAGAGCAUUAUUUUUAGGCUUGGGCAUGUUACACAUAUUUCUUGGCAAAGACAAUUUAUUUACAUUUUGUCUUCUUACCAUUAUGCAUUGUGGUUUGCAAGGCAGUAAAUUUAAGUGAGAAAUGAAUAAAAUAAUAAAUACAAGUUUAAACAUCCUCAACAAAAUACAACAAACCAAAUUCAACAGCACAUUAAAAGGCUCAUAUACCAUGACAAAGUGGGUUUGAUCCCUGGGAUGCAAGAAUGGUUCAACAUAUGACACCAAUUAAUGUGAUACACCACAUUAACAGAAUGAAGGAUUAAAAUCAUUAUCAACUCAAUGAAUGCAGAGAAAAGCAUUUGAUAAAAUUCAAAGCCAUUUCAUGUUAAAAACUCAACAAACUAGGAAUCAAACUAUCCUUAUACUCAAUGGCAAAAAAAGCUUUUCUCCUGAGAUUAGGAGCAAGGCAAAGAUGCCCACUCUCACCACUGUAUUCAUAAUAUUAGAAGUUCUGGUCAGAGCAAUUAGAUUAAAAAAAGAAAGAAAAGACGCCCAAGGUCGAAAAGGAAGAGGUAAAAUUUUACCUAUUUGUAGAUGACAUGAUCUUAUAUAUAGAAAACCCUAAAGACUUCACCAAAAAAAAAAAAAACUGUUAAAAUUAGUGAAUGAAUUCAAUAAAGUAGUAGGAUACAAAAUCAACAGACAAAAAUUAGUUACAUUUCUGUAUGCUAGCAACAAACUAUCUGAAAAGGAAAUUAGGAAAACAGUCCCAUUUAUAAUAACAUCAAACAGAAUAAAACACUUAAGAAUAAAGUUGACUAAGGUAGUGAUAGACUUAUACACUGAAAACUGUAAAACAUUGAUGAAAGAAAUUAAAGACAUAAACAAAUGGAAAGACAUUCUGUGCUCAGGCAAUGGAAGACUUAACAUAGUUAAAAAUGUCCAUACUACCUAAAGUGAUCUAUAAAUUGAAAGCAAUCCUUAUCAAAAUCCCAAUGACAUUUUUUUAUGGAAAUAGAAAAAACGAUUCUAAAAUUCAUAUGGAACCACAAAGGACUCUGAAUAGCCAAAACAAUCUUAAGAAGGAAAAUCAAAGCUGAAUUCCUGAUUUCCAAAUAUAUUACAAAGCAAUAAUAAUUAAAACAGUGUGGAACUGGCAUACAGACAGACAUAUAAACCAAUGGAACCAAAUAAAAGCCCAGAAAUAAAUCCAUGCUUAUACAGUCAAUUGAUCUUUGACAAGGGCCCCAACAAUACGCAAUGGGGGAAGGAUGGUCCGUUUAACAAAUGGUGUUUGGAAAACCAGAUAUCCACAUGCAAAAGAAUGAAAUUGAACCCUUAUAUUACACUGUACACAAGCUCAAAAACUCAAAUAUAAGACGUGAAAGUGUAAAACUAGAAGAAAACAUAGUGGGAAAGUUGCAUGCCCUUGGUCUUGGCAAUGACUUCAUGAAUAUCACACCAAAAGCACAGACGAAAAAUGCAAAAAUAGACAAGUAGGACUAUAUGAAAUUAAAACUCUUCUUCACAGCAAAGGAAACAAUCCACAGAAUAAAAAGGCAACCUAUAGAAUGACAGAAAAUAUUCACAAAUCAUAUUUCAGAUAACGGGUUAAUUUCUAAAACACAUAAGGAACUCUUUAUAACUCAACAGCAAACUCUAACUCGUUAGCAAAACAAAAACAAAACACACCCACAAAACAAACAAACAAACAAAAAACAAAAAACAACCUGCUUUAAAAAUGGGCGAAGGACUUCAAGAGACAUUGUUCCAAAAAAGUUAUUCAAAUGGCCAAAGUUAUAUGAAAAUAUGCUCAAUGCCACUUAUGCAAAUCAAAUGACAAUGAGAUAUCACUUCAUACAUGUUAGAAUGGCUCUUAUCAAGAGACAGAAGUGUUGGCAAGGAUACAGAGAAACUGGAACCCUUGUACACUUGGUGAGAACGCAAAAUGGUGCUGUCAGUAUGGGAAACAGUAUGGAGGUUCCUCAAAAAUUUAAAUAUAGAACUGCCAUAUGAUCCAGCAAUCCCAUUCUGGGUAUUUAUCCAAAAGAAUUGAAAUCAGGAUCUUGAAGCGAUAUUAACAUUUCCAUGUUCGUUACAGCACUAUUCACAAAUAGCCAAGAGGUGAAAACAAUCUAAACGUCCUUUGAUGGAUGAAUGGAUAAAGAAAAUGUUAUGUACAUACAGUGGAAUAUUAUUCAGCCAUAAACAAGGGAAAUCCUAUGAUAUGCUAUAAUAGCACAUGGCUGAACCUGAGGACAUUAUUUUAUGCUAAGCGAAAUAAGACAGAAGGAGAAAUAUUGUGUGCUUCAGUUUAUAUGAGGUAUCUAAAAUAGUCAAACUCAUAGAAACAGAGCAGAAUGGUGGUUGCCAGGGGGAGUGGGGAGAAGGAAAUGGGAAAUUGCUAAUCAAUGGGUAUGAAGUUUCAGUAAUGCAAGAUAAGUUCUAGAGAUCUGCUGUACAACAUUGUGCCUAUAGUGUUGCAUUGCACACUUAAACAUAUGUUAAGAGGGUAAAUCUCAUGUUAAGUGUUUGUACGAUGAAACUUCUUAAAAAUUAAAUUUUAAAAAGCAGCAAAAUAAAUGAACUGUAUAUAGAUGAAAAAUAUUCUAGUUCUCAAACUCCUGGGUAAAAUGUUAAAAUGCUGUGUCCAGGGCCUUACCUCUUCAGAUUCUGACUCAAUCUGGGGUGGAGCCCUGGAGUCUGCAUUUUAACAAAUCCAAGCAUCUGCUGCAGAAGCAUGUUAAGAAGCACUGAUGUGCGUGAAAGGGCCUUGUAAAAAAUAUGCAAAAGAAAAGUCUAAGUUGUUAGUAAACUUUGCAUAGUGAUAGCUGACAUUUAUUCAUCAGCUUCUGUGCCUCAGACUCAUGAUCUAGGUCACCAUAUUACCCCGUUUUCCAGAUGAGGAACUGAGACAUAGAAAACAGUAAAUGGCAGAGCCACGACUCAACACAAGGUGGUCUGAUGCGCCAUCCACUCUCUUGACCACAGAUUAUCUCUUCUACUACUAGUUGCCUUCAAAAAGCAGAUACUUCAGAAGCUGUAGCUUGAUGCUUCUGGGAAUUCUACAUAGCACUGCCACCUCUGUUCUUAUUCACUUUUCAAUAUAUUUAUAGAUGGAAAGAUUUCAAUGAAUGAGAAACAAAGUUGGGAUGUGAGAACCCUUAGGGGCACAGACAUGCAUGUCCACAACCAUUGCAAGCUUCCUGGUUGUAGGAUGAGCCCUGGGCAGGUGAAAAUGUAGGUCUGACCCAGUCUAAUACUUUUACAUUCUUUGAUUUAUAAGUUGAUUAAAGUUUUUGCCAAUUCAGGAGGAAAAAAUCACAAGAGUAGAAUGUUAUUCAAAUUGUUUGGUAUUAGGUGACUUGGUAUGUUAGCGCUACUGAAGCAAAUAUAUAGACAAGACUUUGGCUGAUUGGCAGGAUUUUGACUAGAUUAAUCAGACAUUUGAGCAUUAUGAAAAACAAUCAUUUUUCUUUAACAAUUAUUGCCUUUUAAAUGAAUAAGCUAAUAUGAAAGUGACAAGUGAGACCUCACUAGGGGCUGAGAUAGCUAACAUAAAUAUGUAAGUUAUGGCACAGACAGAAAGAAUGACAAAAAUUUACACAUUUAAAAACAUUUUAUCAAUUAAGAAUUUCCUGUUUAAUAAGUUUUAUAAAACAGUAAAGUAUGUGGAUUAAAGAGACUCGCUUCUGUCUCCCUUACUUCUUGAUGUAUUUUUUUCCUCUUUCUUUCUCCCUCUCUCUUUUUUAUCUCUGUAAUUGCUGGCACUUUAAUGUAGAAAAUAGGCUCAUUCGUCUUGUCUUCUAAUGAGCUUUAUACAGUAUAAGAAAACGUAAAGUCUGGAAAGGGGUGUUAAUGUUGGAUCCUAAGAGCCCCAGCAUUUGUACGUUUGACUCUAUCAUCUUUUAUCAUGUAACAAAAGACAUAAGCCAACAAAGCGUGCUAUCUAUAGAAAAUACUUGUAACUGUUUUGUUAACCCAAGAGUUGACCCCUUUACAUGUAAUUUCAGGCUCAGAAUCAGAUCAAAGGCCCCAGUUUGGGUUAUGUGUGCACUGUGACCUCUUCCAUGGUCUCUGAGUUCCCCGAAGGAGAGGUCUAGGUCUUUCUCAUUGUCAUCUCUUCAUGCCCAGCAAGCUCGGCAGUGUUUGAGGAUGAAUUGCUUGUACUAUGAGGAACUUGGGAGAUUUGGGCAACAUAUUUGCUGGUGAACUGGCACUUCGGCACCUGUGUUGCUAUCUUUUUACAGAGUCAGUGUGGUUUGCUGGAAAGGAUAGUAGGUAGGAAGUCAGGAGCUAGUUCUUUCUUUGCCUAUAUGACCUUAAGAAGUCCUCUUAAUCUCUUCAGGGUAAAGUGUCCUCAUAAAGUGUAAUACUUGGGCUAAAUAGUAUUCUUUAGUCUCUUCCAGCUUUAAAAUUUAUGUUUAAAAUAGAAGAAAAUGUGUCUGUGAUUUUUUGUCUUUUCAUUUUGAAAUAAUUUUGAACCUACAGAAAAGUUGAAAGAAUUGUACAAAACUGCUCCUGUUUACCUUCACUCAAAUUCAUCAGUUGUUAAGAUUUGCUCACAUUCUCUCUCUCCACACUCACACACAAAAUUUUUGUUUUGAAACAUUUACGAGUUGUAGACGUUGUGCCCCUUUACUCCCAAGUACUUCAGAAUGCAUUUCCUAAGUACAAUGAUGUUUUCUUACAUCACCAUGAUGUAUUCAUCAAAUUCAGGAGAGUAAAUACUGAUUCAAUACUAUUAUCUGAUAGCCCAUAUUUAAAUUGUGCCAGUUGUCCCAAUAUUUUCCAUAUCAAUUUUUCCCCUGCUCCAAGACUCGUUCCAAGAUUACACAUUGCAUUUAAUAGUUGUCAUGCCUGUUUAGUGUCCUUUGUCCUGCACAACUUUGAGAUUUUUGAAAAUUACAGGGCAAUUUUUUUGUAGAAAGUCUAUUAAUUUGAGUUUGCCUGAUGUUUCCUCAUAAGAUUCCAGUUAUACCUUUUUAUCAGGAAUAUGACACUAAUUGAGAUCACAUUCUUCUCAGUGCAUCACAUCAAAAGGCACAUAGGUCAUGAUGUUAAAAAAAGUUAAUGUAAAUUUUAUGGGGGAAACAUUUUCCAUUCUCGCUGGAUUUGAGCUCCGUCAACAAGACCAUAAACAAAUGGAAAUUACCCAGGUAUUGGAAUUCUCUAGAUUAAGUAAACUGACUGCCUGUAUAUUUUAGUUUCUAUCUAAAUAAUUUUUAUUUUGUGUUAGAAAGACUUUAAAUAAUAAUUCCUGCACUCAACUCAAGAAACCUUAGUAAAUUUGAAAAGUGUUUGAAAAGUAUGAUGAAGAGAAUUCACAUCCCAUGUGAUAACAUGAUGGAUUUUUUUCUGUAAGAAAGAAAUCCUAAAGGAUCAUCUUGUUAACAUUAUGCCAGGCAGGAUUAUGAAGGCUAAAGAGAAAAAUGGGGUCAAAUAAUAGAACAAUAACAAAAACACAGCUCUCCUGAUCUUUACUUCAAUACUUUUUUCACUACAUUGUUGCUCCCAUGAAUCACUAUCUGGAAGCAAAUCUGGCUUUUUUAAAAAAAAUAAAGAAGGCAGUUAGUCAAUGACUAUAUGCCUUAUGCCUAGUGUUCCAUUAUUGGAACGCUGAGCAUGUGGGAGUUAUUUAUAUCCUACUGCUCAAGGUCAUCACCAAGGUCUGAUUGGAAAAAUUCAAAAAAUUGCAACCUCAGGCAUAAAUUGCUUAACAUGUUUCAUAGCACCCUCAGAAUAGCACCAUGGACCAGUUGCAGUGAUGAUGUCCCAGUAAAAAUAAAAAUAACCACCUUGGAUUCAUUGGGCCACUUUGGGACACUGUAGUGUUACUGCAGAGCAGUAGAUGGCACUGUUAAUAUACAUUGAUUUUAGUAUAAAAUCUGGAAAAGGGAAGUAGUAUUCCAGAGAUUUACUAUGUGGUUGUUCCAACUAAAGUAGUGAUACUUCACUUAUUUGGUGAAAUCCUAUCAAGUCUGUAGUUGUUAUGAUACUUAUUUUCAACUCCCCUAACCUAACUGUGGAGUUAGGUUAUGAUACUUAUUUUCAUCUCCCCUAACUGUGGAGGUUUUGCUUUUUGGCUUCUCCCCGCUCCUCACAUACAAAUAAUGCAACUUACACAUUUGGCUCCAAGAAUUUAGUACUUCAUUUGGUACUAGUAAGUCAUUUAUUAUUUACCUUACAAUUAAUAUUAGAGACCUGGGAGGAUACAGGGUCUAAUAAUUUUAUGUAUUUCUUAGCUAAAGAAAUAUUCUUGGGAACAUUUCAUACUUUUGACCUGUUUGUAUGUUUAUAUAGAAAGUUUUAAUGCACCAAGUUUUUCUGAUAUUUGAUUUAGUUGCUGAAAAUAAGUCGAUGGUUAUUUUACUUUUCAUUUAGAUAAAAGUCAUGAAGAUCUGUUUCAUAUUUCAUGACAUCACUGUUUAUUUGGAAUGAGUGGGCAAGAUAUUUUAUAACUCACGUAUAAGAAACCUAAAAAGAAAUCUGGAAAUAACAACAACUCCAUACUCCUUAAUGAAUUCAGGCCUUGAUUAUUUGCAUUGAAUGCAAACCUUUACUGGCUGAUCACAUCUUUUAAACACCUCACUUAAAUUAUGCAGAUAAAAAUUACAUUCUGCCCCUUUAUUUAAAAAAACCUUGAAGAAAUGAUUAAAACUAUGUUUAACCAAAUGCUUCAGAUGAGAAAAAUCAUAAAUAAUGAAAUGAUAUUUAAAUUUGCUUUUUUAAAAAAUAAAAUCAUUUAGUUUUCCAUCUCAGGGUGAGAGAAGUUACACCUUCUAGAACCAUGACAUCAUAUGAAAUGUUGACAUCUAUUAUCAACCUAAUUAACUAUUUGCUGUUCAAAUUGUGGUGAAAGUACAUUGAGACUUCUUUUGUACUCUUAUCGCUUGUUUAAUACCAAAUUGCCUGGCAUCUGUGUAUCAAGGCUUUGAUCUAAUACUCUAUCAGUUGUUGGCUUAGGCACAAGAGACUGCAGAGUACACAAAGCUGUCACUGCAGACUCCAGGGAAAAAGAGGCUGUUGAUAUACAGUCCUGAUUAGCCAAGUCAGUCAAUAUUUGCAUGACGCAAUGAUAAUGCCUUCUUUAUGUUAGAUUGUUAUUUCACUGAAGCAAGUAGGAAACUUCCUUUUCAAGAGCUCAAUAUAUUUUUCAGAAAUUCUUUUUCCCUCUCAGGUACAUAUAUGGCAUUUUCUUUCAUCUCUCUCCAUUUCCUCUCCUGCCUUCAAUGUUUGAUCACACACAAAUGCAACAUAAUGACACAUUCUUGAGAAGUCUAUAGUUUUUAGGAUUUAUAUGUGAAGGAAUUUUGUUAAAGUUAUUAUCUUACCUAUAAUAUAUCAAAAUAUCAGAAUCAGAACUACCUCUUUCAUUUUUGUGUACUUUAAAUAUAAAAGUUGGUUGUUUUAUUCCUAUUUUCUAUUCUCUAACCUUCAGUUACUUGAUUUGUAAACUCCACACACUGAUGUCUUGAUUCUACUUUCUAGCAUAGACUUUAGGCUAGCACAUCUUUUAAUAUUACUCAAAUGUUAGGAGACAUGAAUCUUACAAUAUUCAUAUUUCAAUGGAGGCAAUAGAAAGCUACAUUGAGCUCACAUCAAAAGUUGAACAUUUCUCCAUUCACUUUAUUUCAUAUUAUUUUAGAAGUGUUGGCCUUUGCAAUGGGGAUUUGAUAUUUAUAAGAUUCUGUUUAUACUUAGCAAAAUUUCUAAUCACAUUCUAUUAUUUGAGAUGCUCUUUCUCUCUCCAACCCUCUUUCCACUCUUAUCUUUUAAUAUAUGAAAGGAAAUUGAUGGUGAUAAACAACCAGACUGGUAUCUCCUUUAAAGUCAUUCAGUCAUCAUUUAUGAGCCAAGGAUUGCGUUAUUUGCUGGAGGUGACAAAAACAGCAAGACACUGUCUCUGCACUCUGAGAGAGAAAAAAACCAUAAAAGUUGGCAGGAGCCAGAUCACAGAGGGCCUUACAAAGAAGUUUGGGUCUUAUCUUAAAAUAGUAUGGUGUUACAGCAUUUUAAAAUAAGAGGACUAUGAUUGGAUUUAUGAUUUGGAAAGGCAAGGCUGCAGGAUAAAGGACAGGGCAGAAGGGUGAGACUAGAAGUAGGAAGAAUAUAAUUAGGAGACUGUAUCAACAAUUAGACAAAGCUAAAUGUUCUUCACCUUUUGGGGCCUUAGAUCCCUUUUUAGAAUCACAUAUGUAUAUACACACACAUAAUUCACACAUACUAUCAGAUGGUUCACAGAUCUCUUAAAGUGUGUGAAUUCCAGGUAAGAACUCUUUGAAUAAAUGAUAAGGGCAUUAAUCAAUGCACUAGCAGUGGAGAUAGGGAAUAUCACAGAUACGAGAGGUAUAACAAAGAAUCUAUAGUAUAUAUUGGCAGAUUGAAUAUGAGAGGUGAGAGAUGGCAGAGUCUCAGAUGGCUUCCAAGAUUCUAGUUAUCUAUGGUGACUGGGUAGAUGGUAGUGCUUUCAUCAAGGCAAAGAAUAGAAAGAAACAUGUUGACAUUGUUGGAAAGCCUGUGGAAUAUUCUGGUGGAGGCAUAGGUCUCUAGAGUUCAGUAGAGGUGUCUGGGCUGAAAGUAUUGAUUUAGAAUCUUGAGCCUGUAAACAGCCAUAGGUUGAGUUCACCUAAUGAGAUAAUGUAGAGUAAGAAAGAGAAGGGCAGGCCAUAAUCCUUGGGGAACACCAGCUUCGAAGGCUCCGUCAAAGAAAGAGGAGUGAACGAAGUAGACAGAGUUAUAAAGAAAAACAAGAGUGAAGAGCCUUAGACUCCAAAAGAAGAAAUAAUAUCCAAGAAGGCAUGGGCCACAACAUCAAGUAUUUCAAGGACAAAUACCUCUAGUAUUUCUUUGCAUGUGACAAUUAGGUAGUUAUUGAUGAUUCCCACCAGAAGAGUUUCAAUAGAAUUGGGCUGAGAUGAAGGUGAUAAGCCACACUGCUGAAAGUUAAAGAGUGAGUGGGAGAUGAGAAAGUGGCUAUGGAAUAUUCAAGGACAUUGUGAUGGUAAGAUGAGUGAUUGAACUAAAAUAGAUAUAUACACAUAUAUAUCCGUAUUAUAUGUAUAUAUGUGUAUGUGUGUAUAUAUGUAUAUACUCUCUAUCGAUAGAUAUCUAUCUAGAUAUCUAUUGAUAGAUAUCUAUAUAGAUCUAUCUAGAUAUCUAUAUAUAUAUAGAGACAGAGUGUGUGAGUGUGUUGCUGGGUCAAAAUACAUGUACAUUUUUAAUGUGGAUAGAUAUAUAUGAUUGCCUCCCCCUAAAAGGUUACAUUCAUUCAUUGCUAUAAUUCUUUACAGGAGUAUCCUGUUUCCUACCCCAUGGAUAGAUAUACACUAUUGCCUCCCCCUAAAAGAUUAUAUCCAUUCACUUCUAUAAUUCUGUAUAGGAGUAUCCGAUUUUCUACCCCAACAGCUAUAUAUUAACAUGCCUUCCAGCUUUUUCUUGUCUGAUGGCAAAAACUCUUUAAUUUGCUUUCUGAUUAUUCACAAGGUUGCACAUCUUCUUAUAUGUAAUUUUUAGCUAUUCAUAUUUCUUUAUCUGUGUCUUACUUGUUUAUAAUCUUCAUCCAUUUUCCUAUUGAGUUUGCUAUUUCAUUGAUUUGGAAGAACUCUUUACAAAUAUUUUUCACCUGAAGAUGUUAAAAGCAUUUUCUUCCAGGCUGUGUUGUGUGUUUUAACUUUAUUUAUGGUGUCUUUAUCACAACCAUAUAUGUCAAUCUUUACCUUUAUAAAAAUGUAAAAUAUUUUCAUUUUAUUCCAGUGUUUAAUAGAUUACAUAUGGCUUUGUUUCAUCUGAAAUUUGUGUGAGACAUAAUACAGAGCACAAACUUUAUUCUUGUGAAAUAGUUACUUGAUUUUGCCAAUACCAUGCAUUAAAUAUCCACUCUUCCUGGUGGUUUGAAAUACCGCUUUUAUUAUAUACCAAAUUCUAUAUAUACAGGGGUCUGUUUUCAGAUUUUAUGUUUGUUCCAUUAGUAUGUUUGCCUAUUCCUGCACUAUGUUUACACUGCUUUUAAAAAUAGAGCUUCAUAUGAUGUUUGAUAUCUGGUAGGAUAAAUACUCUUUUUCCUUCUCUCCUGCUCCUGGUCUGGGCUGUGUUUCCCUCUGGUUUUGUUCUUGUCAAUACACUCCCCUUUGAUUUUCUAUCUUCUAGGAUUCCUUAGAAUCUCUUGUCUGCUGAUGAAAUUUUUAUUUUCUAAUAUGCUCAUUAAAUUUAUUAUUUUAAAAUAUCUGUCUUUUCUUGGGUUGGAGCCAGGAGUAGAUGCAUGUGUUUUGUCUGCCAUCUCGAUACACUUCCUCAGAGGGAUGCUUAUAAAAUAAUCUACAUGUGGCCAGUUGGUUGUCACCUUACAAAGCAAACAACAUACAGCUGUGUAAGGAUUGUUAAGUAACCAUUCUGUAUUCUGGAAAUCUUUUAAUGAUCAACAACAGUUUGAUGUAUAAUAUAUUUUAUAGGCCUCAUUGUAAAGAAAUGAAUGUUGAUACCCUAAAGUGCUGAUUCAAUCUCUCUCAAAGUGUUUUCCCUUCAAAUUAGUGUUUGUCUGCUUAUAUUCUGUGCUUGUCUUACCUUGGGGAUGAUUUCUUAAAACAAAUUAUGAGGCACAUUCUGGCAAUAAGAAAUUUCCUAAAUGUGAUGUUUAACAUUGGUGCCUAGAAAUCAUAAGUUCAAUUGACUGUAUUUUGUUAUUUUUUUUCUUUUGAAUGGGGAAAGGGUAGAAGAAUCUGUUUUCUUCACAGAUGAAAUUUUCCAUUAAAGGAAGCUAUUAUAUUUCCAUAUCAGUACACUUAUUUUAUACUCAACCUCUCUAGGGAUGACAGCCUGUUCAGCAGGAAAGCCCUAAAGGUCAUCCAAUGACUAGAUUGAUACAUUUCACGGAAAAAUUGAGACUAACUUUCUUACUGUGAAAUAUAGAAACCUGAGUCAUCAUUACCAUAAACUCAUAGCAGAUCUAUAGUUACCUUUGAAAUAAAAGGGGAUUACAGGACAUUCUUGUUUUGAUGGUGGGCUCCAGUUUCUCAUCCUCAAAAAUUUGGUUCUCAUAUUAAAAUACUAUUAAUACAAAAAUUAUGCCAUAUGAAGUGAGUAUCCAAAGAUUUCUAAAUAAAACAUGUACUGAAAUUAGUAAAAAUUUCUCAUAGUGUUAUAUGGGAUUAACGGCGAUUUCACAAAUGGGAAUACCUUUUUAAUUCUUUCUACUUAUUUACCUAUUUAUUUGGAAGUACAGUAUUACAAACUAGGGAGCGGCUAAGACUGGCUAAGCAAUCAUGCUGGAAAUUAUUGCAUAGCUCAGCAAAAUAUCCUAAAAAUAAAAAUAUGCCUUACUUUUAUGUCCAGGAACUUUUUAUUAUUUCUGACUUAGAAAAUGUUAUUUCUAAAUUUUUAAUGCUAGUUAUACUUCUUUCUUUUGGUCACCAUAAGGCUUUCUAGCACUUUCCUCAAAGGAAGGGAAAUUAAAUAAAUGGGUAUAACUCAGUCCACUUUGGUGACAGCUUGUUUGUGAGCUCGAGUUUGGAGACAGAAUAAAUUGGACUAUUUGCUAAAAUGGGGUUUUAGGAUUAUUCAAGAGGAAACAAUUUCAUGUAUGGCUUUUCACUCUGGUUAGUCUUUGAUUGUAGAUCCUACAUUUAUUACUGUGUAGUCAGUAUGCUUACAACUGGGCAUCCCAAUGGCUAGGAGAUAAUGUGAGUCUCUGGACAAACACUCCUGCUGAGCCAGAAAUGCUGUCAGAAUUUCCUCAAAGAAUGAUCUCAGUGUUUGUCUUUAUUCUGAUUUCAAUCACACGGUGAUUUGUCAGGGCUUUAUAAAUGCAAUUUAAUCCUGUUCAAUUUCCAAGGAGGGGUGAACAUGCAACAAAAUGAAUUAACUAGGCCAAUCAUAAUCAAACACUGCAGAAAGCCAGGCAGAACCCACCAUAUGCCAAGGGUGUAUAGAUCUCAUCCUGCCUGGGAAAACUUGACACUCCGCCUGGUGCAGGGAUUGGGAGGGUAACUGAGGGAGGUAAGGAGGUAGGAUAUCCCUUAGGGAAGGAGCAUCACUCCUCUCAGGAGAUCUGUUCCUAUGACUUUCAACAAAGCACCACCGAAUUGUCAUUGUAUUUUGUGAGUAGCUAAAUUCUUCUGGGAAUUAAGGAAAAAAUUUGAAGUUGCCAUGAAGGUAGCCUCUUCCCAAUUACACCUUAGCUAAAGGUAGCACUCUGAUUCUCUGAGGAUAAUUGGUCCAUCUAAUAAAAUCACAUUGAAUCUGGAGCAAUCCUGAGUGUUUUCUAAGCUCAAGCUAAGAAAUGCUGCUUUCAAGGGGCAGCAGUACAGCAUUAAGAACAUGGUAUGGCCCUGCGGGCUGGUUUUACUACUGAUUACUUAUGUGACCUUGGGUGAGUGACUUAACUUCAAUGAGCUUUUGUUUUUUUUUUUUUUCAUUUGUAAAAUGCAGAUAAUACCCUCAUGGUGUUGAUGUUGAAAUUAAGGGAGACAAUGAAAGUAAAGUGCUUAGUACACUGCAUGGCAUGUGGUAAAUGCUCCAUAAACAUUCAUGUUAUUGUUUUCAGUAUAAGCAGUCAAAAAUACCAAAAUUUUUCUUCAUGCAACAAAUAUUUAUUGUGCGUUUACUAUAUGCCAAACUUGCCAAAUACUGGAGAAUAUUUGAAAAAUACCUUAUUCAGUGACCAAAGUAAGAAUCUGCAUCUCUGUUGUUGGCUGUAGAUGGCAAUUUCUGCUUCCUGGCCUUACUUCUUUAAAGAAAAAAAUUUCCCAUGCAUUAGUCACUUAGAUCAACCCAUUGCCACAUUUUUUUAGUGUUGAAAGCUAAUAUAUUUUAGUAAUGCUUCAAUGAACUGUGGUAGCAACAAAUAAAGAAAUUGACUUCUGUCCCAAAAUAUGGGGAGUAGAGUUGUAAUCAGGAUUACAAAAAAAAAGGGGCCAGUAUUACAAGCUGCUAAAAUGCUUUUGCGUGGAUUAUUGUUUUAUUUGGACCCCCUCCACCCUUUAAAUCUGAUACAUGCUAAGAUUUUCAUGGGCACAGCCACCUCCUAAUAUGUGGUUUUGCUUCUCUGCAAGCAUGGAAUCCCCUCUGCAGUUAUGUUUGCCUGUGCAUCUCCGGCAGCUGGAGGACGAAUCACAUCAGGCUGAUGAGUGUGUCACGCUCUUCAUCCCCCAAGAGCUGUGAUGAAGACCAAGACAAACAGUAGAUUAACAGUGCUACCUUUUAUAAGGCUGAUUAGUUCCUAAAAUAUGCUGAAAGGAAACAAAACCAAAAAGAAAAAAGAGUGGAAAGGGGGGUGAGACAGAAACCUUUGUCGAGUCUCAUUCCAUCACCCAGGCUGGAGUGCAGCGGCGUGAUCUUGGCAACCUCCACCUCCCAGGCUCAAGAAAUCCUCCCACCUCAGCCUCCCAAUAGCUGGAUCUACAGGCGUACACCACCACAAUCAGCUGUAUUUUUUGUAGAGACUGGGUUUCGCCAUGUUGCCCAGGGUGGUCAUGAACUUGUGAGCUCAAGUGAUCUGCCCGCCUCAGCCUCCCAAAGUGCUGGGAUUACAGGCAUGAGCCACCGCCCCUGGCCUAAUAAAAUUUAUUUUUAAAAAAGGACCUAUGGCGAAUCAUUUUUACAAAUAAAAUCUAUAGUCAAGGUGCAGUAUGGGAACAGCAUUUUACUGAGUAAUCUUGCAAAGAAUAUGUCAUUAACCACUACACUAAUCUUGUUCUUGAUGUACACCAGCAACAAAUACAAAGAAAAAUUUAGUCUCUUACUUUAACAGGUUCCAAGUAUGCCACAUCGUAUUUUUUGCCAAAUAAUUUAUUAGUAAGAGGAGAUGACUCUAGUAAGUUAUAGAAGUUAUAUUGAAUUUUUAAAAAAAAUUUUUCAAAACUAUUCUGUGGGGAUUGAGGACAGAUGAACUACAAAGGAACAUGAUGGAACUUUCUGGGGUGAGCAUAAUGUUCUAUAUGAUGAUAGGGGCUUGGGUUACAUAAGUGAGCAUUUAUGAAAACUGUACACUUUUUGUGCAUUUCAUUGUGUAUAAAGUUUACUUCAAAAAAAACAUUGAACUCCAAUUAAUUACAUGCAUGCUGAACUAUUUAGAGUGAAGUAUACUGAUGCCUGUUGUUUACUUUGAAGUAUUUCAAAACAGUAAAAUGGAUAGAGGAAUGUGUAAUAAAUUGGUACACGAUAAGGAAAAUAUAGUCAAUUAUGUUAAUAGUAAAAUCUAGAUGGUGAGUAAACUGGUG
This 18629-nucleotide long non-coding RNA is filed under the name Homo sapiens (human). RNAcentral describes it as "non-protein coding LINC00609:15". The record is from RNAcentral. Lineage: Eukaryota; Metazoa; Chordata; Mammalia; Primates; Hominidae.